Paramuricea clavata is the source of this 291-nucleotide non-coding RNA. The record is from the annotation of a GenBank genome assembly. Lineage: Eukaryota; Metazoa; Cnidaria; Anthozoa; Malacalcyonacea; Plexauridae.
UACGAAUAGUCCGCGAAUAAACGACGAAUAGUGCGAAUAGUCCGCGAAUAGUCGACGAAUAGUACGAAUAGUCCGCGAAUAGUCGACGAAUAGUACGAACAGUCGACGAAUAGUACGAAUAGUCCGCGAAUAGUGCAAUAGAGAGUUUGCAAGGCUUUGCACCGUGCUGUAGAACUAAAUUUACCGAAGCGGAGCUGGGGGGGGGGCUCUAUUGACAAACAUGAAUUCGUGAAAACAUUCGUUGAUGUCAAUGACGUCAUACGUAAUCGGUAAAAAUUACGGGACCUGCAC